This 253-nucleotide ribosomal RNA is filed under the name uncultured bacterium. Its description in RNAcentral is "partial 16S ribosomal RNA". It matches the Rfam family "Bacterial small subunit ribosomal RNA", at positions 524 to 776 of the family's 1533-position model. The record is from RNAcentral.
UACGUAGGGGGCUAGCGUUGUCCGGAAUCAUUGGGCGUAAAGAGCGUGUAGGCGGCCCGGUAAGUCCGCUGUAAAAGUCAAAGGCUCAACCUUUGAAUGUCAGUGGAUACUGCCGGGCUAGAGUCCGGAAGAGGCGAGUGGAACUCCUGGUGUAGCGGUGGAAUGCGCAGAUAUCAGGAAGAACACCAACGGCGAAGGCAGCUCGCGGGGACGGUACUGACGCUGAGACGCGAAAGCGUGGGGAGCGAACAGG